GUCUACGGCCAUACCACGUUGAAAGCACCAAUUCUCGUCCGAUCACUGAAGUUAAGCAACGUCGGGCUCGGUUAGUACUUGGAUGGGUGACCGCCUGGGAACACCGAGUGCUGUAGACU
Molecule: ribosomal RNA, 119 nt
Filed under: Lottia gigantea (owl limpet)
Lineage: Eukaryota; Metazoa; Mollusca; Gastropoda; Lottiidae
Source: RNAcentral